GACUCUUAGCGGUGGAUCACUCGGCUCGUGCGUCGAUGAAGAACGCAGAACGCAGCUAGCUGCGAGAAUUAAUGUGAAUUGCAGGACACAUUGAUCAUCGAACGCACUUGCGGCCCCGGGUUCCUCCCGGGGCUACGCCUGUCUGAGCGUCG
RNAcentral lists this ribosomal RNA (152 nucleotides) under Ochotona princeps (American pika). RNAcentral describes it as "5.8S ribosomal RNA (ENSOPRG00000018124.1)". It matches the Rfam family "5.8S ribosomal RNA". From Rfam's summary of the family: 5.8S ribosomal RNA (5.8S rRNA) is a component of the large subunit of the eukaryotic ribosome. It is transcribed by RNA polymerase I as part of the 45S precursor that also contains 18S and 28S rRNA. Lineage: Eukaryota; Metazoa; Chordata; Mammalia; Lagomorpha; Ochotonidae. The record is from RNAcentral.